This 433-nucleotide ribosomal RNA is filed under the name uncultured bacterium. RNAcentral describes it as "partial 16S ribosomal RNA". It matches the Rfam family "Bacterial small subunit ribosomal RNA", at positions 29 to 507 of the family's 1533-position model. The record is from RNAcentral.
AACGAACGCUGGCGGCAUGCCUAACACAUGCAAGUCGAACGAGACCUUCGGGUCUAGUGGCGCACGGGUGCGUAACGCGUGGGGACCUGCCUUUAGGUUCGGAAUAACUCAGAGAAAUUUGAGCUAAUACCGGAUGAUGUCUUCGGACCAAAGAUUUAUCGCCUUUAGAUGGGCCCGCGUUGGAUUAGCUAGUUGGUGGGGUAAAGGCCUACCAAGGCGACGAUCCAUAGCUGGUCUGAGAGGAUGAUCAGCCACACUGGGACUGAGACACGGCCCAGACUCCUACGGGAGGCAGCAGUGGGGAAUAUUGGACAAUGGGCGAAAGCCUGAUCCAGCAAUGCCGCGUGAGUGAUGAAGGCCUUAGGGUUGUAAAGCUCUUUUACCCGAGAUGAUAAUGACAGUAUCGGGAGAAUAAGCUCCGGCUAACUCCGUG